RNAcentral lists this ribosomal RNA (253 nucleotides) under uncultured bacterium. RNAcentral describes it as "partial 16S ribosomal RNA". It matches the Rfam family "Bacterial small subunit ribosomal RNA", at positions 524 to 776 of the family's 1533-position model. The record is from RNAcentral.
UACAGAGGGUGCGAGCGUUAAUCGGAAUUACUGGGCGUAAAGCGCACGUAGGUGGCGACGUAAGUCGGGUGUGAAAGCCCUGGGCUCAACCUAGGAAGUGCAUUCGAAACUGCGGGGCUGGAGUCCUGGAGAGGAAGGCGGAAUUCUCGGUGUAGAGGUGAAAUUCGUAGAUAUCGAGAGGAACACCGGUGGCGAAGGCGGCCUUCUGGACAGUGACUGACGCUGAGACGCGAAAGCGUGGGGAGCAAACAGG